UGCAUAUCAAAAGCGGAGGAAAAGAAACCAACAGGGAUUGCCUCAGUAGCGGCGAGUGAAGCGGCAAUAGCUCAAAUUUGAAAUCUGGCACCUUUGGUGUCCGAGUUGUAAUUUGAAGAAGGUAUCUUUGGGUUUGGCGCUUGUCUAUGUUUCUUGGAACAGGACGUCAUAGAGGGUGAGAAUCCCGUGUGAUGAGCUGCCCAAAUCCGUGUAAAGUUCCUUCGACGAGUCGAGUUGUUUGGGAAUGCAGCUCUAAGUGGGUGGUAAAUUCCAUCUAAAGCUAAAUAUUGGCGAGAGACCGAUAGCGAACAAGUACUGUGAAGGAAAGAUGAAAAGAACUUUGAAAAGAGAGUGAAAAAGUACGUGAAAUUGUUGAAAGGGAAGGGCUUGAGGUCAGACUUGGUUUUACCAGGCCAGCAUCAGUUUGGGUGGUAGGAGAAUGGCGAAGGAAUGUGGCUCGGCUUCGGUCAAGUGUUAUAGCCUUUGUUGAUACUGCCUACCUAGACUGAGGACUGCGUCUUUUGACAAGGAUGCUGGCAUAAUGGCCUUAAGCCACCCGUCUUGAACCACGG
RNAcentral lists this ribosomal RNA (572 nucleotides) under Yamadazyma atlantica. RNAcentral describes it as "eukaryotic LSU rRNA". It matches the Rfam family "Eukaryotic large subunit ribosomal RNA", at positions 37 to 664 of the family's 3401-position model. RNAcentral also lists the same sequence under 1 other name. Lineage: Eukaryota; Fungi; Ascomycota; Pichiomycetes; Serinales; Debaryomycetaceae. The record is from RNAcentral.